Molecule: transfer RNA, 73 nt
Filed under: Pelagophyceae sp. CCMP2097
Lineage: Eukaryota; Pelagophyceae
Description: tRNA-Met
Rfam family: tRNA
About the family: Transfer RNA (tRNA) molecules are approximately 80 nucleotides in length. Their secondary structure includes four short double-helical elements and three loops (D, anti-codon, and T loops).
Source: RNAcentral
GCCUCCUUGGCUCAGUCGGUAGAGCGUUAGUCUCAUAAUCUGAAGGUCAACAGUUCGAUCCUGUUAGGAGGCA